Molecule: ribosomal RNA, 322 nt
Filed under: uncultured eukaryote
Lineage: Eukaryota
Description: partial 18S ribosomal RNA
Rfam family: Eukaryotic small subunit ribosomal RNA
Source: RNAcentral
CCCUUAGAUGUUCUGGGCCGCACGCGUGCUACACUGAGUGGAUCAGCGGGUCAGGUUGCGCGAAAGUGUUUCCUAAUCUUUAAAUCCGCUCGUGAUGGGGAUUGACGGUUGCAAUUUUCUGUCAUGAACGAGGAAUACCUUGUAAGCGCGGGUCAUCAUCCCGCGCUGAAUACGUCCCUGCCCUUUGUACACACCGCCCGUCGCUCCUACCGAUUGAGUGGUCCGGUGAGGCUUUGGGAUCUGAGCGGAAAGAGCGUUUCGCUGUUUCUGCUCGGAAAGCUCAGUCGAACCUUAUCAUUUAGAGGAAGGAGAAGUCGUAACA